RNAcentral lists this long non-coding RNA (1714 nucleotides) under Homo sapiens (human). Its description in RNAcentral is "HSALNT0367284". Lineage: Eukaryota; Metazoa; Chordata; Mammalia; Primates; Hominidae. The record is from RNAcentral.
CUUUUCUGGAAGCUGGAAAGUCCAAGGUCAAGUCACCGUCAGACUCAGCGUCGGGUGAGAGCCUGCUUUCUGGUUCGCUGAUAGUGAUGGUGCCUUCUAGCUGUGUCCUCCCAUGGCGGAGGGGGCAAGACAGCUCUCCAGGGCCUUUUAUGAAGGCACUAAUCCCAUUUAUGAUGGCCCUACUUUCAUGACUCCCCAUGACCUAAUCACCACCCAAAGGUCACAGCUCCUAACGGUGAUUAGGUUUCAACAUUUGAAUUCGGGGGGAAUGGGGGAGAUACACAAACAUUCAAACCACAGCACUCAAUUAAUUAAUUAUGUCAAGUUAUCAUAGUUACUUGACUCAGGUGUUUUUGGGACUGCAGGCAGGGAGGAAGCAAGGCUUAGAAGAGUCAUCUACCACUCUCAAAAAUAAUACUGCUCGUCAGGAAGAGGAAAGUUCUUCUGGGAAGCAUCUGGCUAAUCUUUUUGGAAAGGUUCUGAGGAAAUUCUUAAAGAGGACCUAUUAUGCAAUCCUGGCUACAAUGCUGUAGACGUUCCUGUAAGGGUUCCUGUGGUUUCUAAUGUACAAAGAUGGACAAUUCCUCAGAUGGCCUCAGGAGAAUGCUUUUAGAUCUGCACUGGGCAGAACCCUGGGAUUAAUUAACAAGGCUCUGUGCCAUCUUGGUAAAGAUGGUCCCCCAGGGGACAAGAAGGAAAAACUUCAGCUGCUCUCAAGUCAUUGCCUACGGAGAAAAAGCCAUUGGUUCUACCUUCCCUUCUAAUUUCUAAUUUCUAAUUUAAUUUCGACUUAAAACUCAAACCCUUUGCUGGUGCCUGACUAACUCUCCUAAAUGAAAGAGGAACAAAUGUUGGACAGUAAGGAAGCCUUCUGGUCCCAAGGCCUCAGAAUGGAUUAGGCAUUGGUUAGCCAUUCCUGGGCCAUGGCACGUGGGGGGCCUGGAGACCAGUACUACUGCAGGGGCAGGACCCUGUGGGCAUCAGGAUGCCACCCCCUCACCCUCACUCCAGGACCACCACUCUCUCCAUCAGUUUUUCUUUUCAAUCAAAGAAUAAAUGGCUAUUUUACCCAUCUUAAACACAACAGCCUUCUUCUGAUCUCUCUCCUCCCACUGAUUACUUUCCUUUUGCAGCAAAACUCCUUUCAAGAAUUGUCUACACUUGCUUUCAUUUUCUCACUUUCCAUUCUCUAUCAAGCUCAUUCCUGCCAUGCUUUUGCCCCUACCAUCUAACCAAACUACUCUUAUCGAGGUCACCAAUCACCUUCACCUUGCUAAAUAUAAGGGUCAGUUUGUCACUCCUUCCUCCUGAUCUACUUUCUUCACUCUCUUCCAGGACACAGCACUUUCUUGGUUUUCCUCUUGCUUUACUGGGGUUCCUUCUCAGUCUGCUCUGCUCUAGGAAUUUUUAAUAUUUGAGUAUCCCAGGUCUCAAUCAUUAGUCCUCUCCUCCUCUCUAUUUCUAUCCACUCCCUUGGGGAUCUCAUCCAGUCUCAUGACUUGGAAAUACCAACGUGGGUCAUUUGGAAGUUGUUAUGUGGGACAGUCCUGUGCACUACAGGAUGCCCAGCAUCUCCGCCACCACCCAUCCACUAAAUGCCAGUAACAGCCUUCCCAUCAUUGUGACAACCAAAAAUUCCCUCACCAAUUUCCCAAACACCCCUGAUGGCAGAAUCACUCCUGCCUAGAAACACUACUUAGAAAUAAGGUCUGUG